UACGGGGGGGGCAAGCGUUGUUCGGAAUUACUGGGCGUAAAGGGCUCGUAGGCGGCCAGCUAAGUCAGACGUGAAAUCCCCAGGCUCAACUUGGGAACUGCGUCUGAUACUGGAUGGCUUGAAUUCGGGAGAGGGAUGCAGAAUUCCAGGUGUAGCGGUGAAAUGCGUAGAUAUCUGGAGGAAUACCGGUGGCGAAGGCGGCAUCCUGGACCGAGAUUGACACUGAUGAGCGAAAGCUAGGGGAGCAAACGGG
This 253-nucleotide ribosomal RNA is filed under the name uncultured bacterium. RNAcentral describes it as "partial 16S ribosomal RNA". It matches the Rfam family "Bacterial small subunit ribosomal RNA", at positions 524 to 776 of the family's 1533-position model. The record is from RNAcentral.